Ipomoea nil (Japanese morning glory) is the source of this 586-nucleotide long non-coding RNA. RefSeq lists it as uncharacterized. NCBI's taxonomy places the organism in Eukaryota, Viridiplantae, Streptophyta, Magnoliopsida, Solanales, Convolvulaceae. The record is from RefSeq and is a predicted model, not a curated record. The transcript is spliced from 3 exons.
GCAGGCACAAAUUAUAGCAUUCAACCCGCCAGCCCAAUUGCAACCCAGAAAGCUAAUAAGCUAAGCUUUGAGUGGCAACAUAUUACAGCAUGAAGCUGCAGCUUCUUAACACCAACACUACCUUUCUUGUUUCUCUGCUCCUAGUACUUAUUAUUGUCUCGUCUCCAGGCUGCAGCCAUGGCAUAAGAGAUGUUCCUGUGGCGUCUAUCACCCAAAACAAGGUGUUGUAUGUUGAUGCAAAGGAUUACACUGAAGGGGGACCAAAUCAAGCUCACACCCCUCCAGGGAAAGGGAGCAAGGGAUGAAACAGUACAGUGUCUGGAUGGUCUGUUCAAUCUCAGCUCAUUCCCAAGCUAGCCUAGCUUCUUCCUUUUACUUUCUCAUCCCAUGAUGUUAUGACAACAAUAUGGAGAAAAAAAAAAAGUGGGACUGGAAAGUAUUUCUCCUUUAAGUUGUACCUAAUUUGCACUUUGUUGGUCACCCACAUUAUGUCAUUAUGUGUGUUGAAACUUGAGAGGCAAAAGUAAAUCUAACUUCCUCUUCUAUCAAAGUAUUUUAAUUUAUGAUGACGAUGAUUAUUAUCCUA